Molecule: long non-coding RNA, 1795 nt
Organism: Canis lupus familiaris (dog)
Lineage: Eukaryota; Metazoa; Chordata; Mammalia; Carnivora; Canidae
Exons: 5
Source: RefSeq, a predicted model, not a curated record
UGAAGGCCCAGGGCACCCGGGCAGCGGCCCAAGGCUUCCCGGUGAAUGGGCAGCGUCGGGGGAGAGAGCGCCCUUCCACCCACACCUCGGCGGCCUGCGCCCCGUCCUCGUGCUCCCAGAGAGCCUCUCCGGCCGCUCCCCGCACAGCCCCGGCUCCCUGCGGGCCUCGGGGCCAUCGGCGGGCACCGCGCGUCACCUGCGGCGGGAAGCCCGUCCAGCCGGCCUGCAGACCGCGGGGCUGCCCAUGCCGAGCAGGUGCCCGGCCUCUCCUCGGGGCGAGCGGGCCGAGAAGCCUGAAGCUCCAGGGCUCCGGCCGUGUCACCGACGCCCCUUCGGCCUCCUCCUACUCCUGUGCCGGGCGAACUGGCGGCGCCCGCGACAGACGGCCGGCGAGCCCUGGGCAGCUGACCAGCCACGGAAGGCGCGGCAGGGAAACCGAGUCUCCCAUGCUGGCCACGGUCUCCGUGACGCGGGGAGGCCUGUUCCCUGUGGCCCAGCAACGUCCACUCCCGGGCCUCUCCCGGGCCUCCUGUCGCGUGGGCAGCUGACCAGGGUGGGGGGUACCCCCGGCUGCCGACCGCGCGCUGUCGGUAGGAGCGAAAGACUGGAAACCGCCCAGACGGCCGCCAGCGGGGCCCAGCAGGCCCGAGAGGACACGCAGUGGAAGGCUCCGCGGCCCCCGAGGCGCGGGAAAGCUCCCCGCGUGCAGAACGGCAUCCCCAUGGAGGCAGGGCCUAUGUCUGAUCGCUGCUAGAUCCAGAACAGUGCCCAGCACAUAGUAGGUGUUCAACAGACAGUAACUGAGUAAAUUGAUGAGACCCAUUUGGUGGAUGGGGAAACUGAGACUCAGAAUUCACCUGAAACCACCCAGAUGAAAAUCAACCCUGGGCCUGGAUCCCUUUUCCUGGUGCUGCCCUGGGGACCAGCCAUCUGUGUGCUCGGUCCUACGCUGCCCUUCACGAGGACCCUCAGAAUCCCAGGCUCCCCUGCAUCGCUCAUCAUCGCUCAGAGGGAGGAGACCCAGAGGGAGCUCCCAAACACCCAACAGGCAUUGUUCUACCUCAAGGAUCCACAGGUCUGCUGCAGAUGAGGAAACUCAGGCCAGAGAGGGGUCGUUCACUUGCUGCUCCAGGCUACACUGUCAAGUGGAUGCAGGCAUGGAAUCAGUAAGAAGAAUCAGCAUUCGCCGCUGACUACGUGGUGGUCAACCGUGGAAAUGGCCACAGUUCUCCACCUCUCACCUAAAGAUAGAGAGCCUUUCUCCUCACCUCUCGAGUCUAUGGCUUCCUUUGGCUGAUGGGACAUUAAUGGAAAUGAUGCAAACAGAGAACUGAAAAGAACUCCCGCAAGGGGGCUCUCCCCUUCGUAGUUUGUGGAAUGCUGGGUCGCCCACGAACAAGCCUGGGAUGGCCUGCUGGGGAAUGGGCCCAUGUGGACCAGUUGCCCCUGGCACCCCAGCCAAUAGCCAGCUAAUCCCCAGAAGAGCUAUCCUGAUGUCUUACAGCCGACCUACUCAUGAGGGAGCCUGGCAAACAUCGGAAGAACUGCCCAGCUAAGUUCAGCCCAAACUGCCCAUCAGCAGAUCCACGAGCCAGAGAAAUGGAGGUUGUCGAAAAAGACACCAAGUCUAGGGGUGAUUGUUACACAGCAAAAGCUAACUAAUGCAUAUUUUUCACUCUAUUGACUCACCUGGUCACUUGAGUAACUACUUCAGCUUCGUAUACGCAUUUUUCUCUGUACAAUAACAGGUUUGAUGUGCUAACUAUAUUUUGUCUAAAAUACAUUAAGAAAACUA